UACAGAGGUCUCAAGCGUUGUUCGGAUUCAUUGGGCGUAAAGGGUGCGUAGGCGGCGCGGUAAGUCGGGUGUGAAAUCUCGGGGCUUAACUCCGAAACUGCAUUCGAUACUGCCGUGCUUGAGGACUGGAGAGGAGACUGGAAUUUACGGUGUAGCGGUGAAAUGCGUAGAUAUCGGAAGGAACGCCGGUGGCGAAAGCGGCGUGCUGGACCUCUUCUGACGCUGAGGCGCGAAAGCCAGGGGAGCAAACGGG
RNAcentral lists this ribosomal RNA (253 nucleotides) under uncultured bacterium. RNAcentral's name for it is "partial 16S ribosomal RNA". It matches the Rfam family "Bacterial small subunit ribosomal RNA", at positions 524 to 776 of the family's 1533-position model. The record is from RNAcentral.